Long non-coding RNA from Falco peregrinus (peregrine falcon), 2367 nucleotides. RefSeq lists it as uncharacterized. NCBI's taxonomy places the organism in Eukaryota, Metazoa, Chordata, Aves, Falconiformes, Falconidae. The transcript is spliced from 2 exons. The record is from RefSeq and is a predicted model, not a curated record.
AUCAGAACCUGUUAGUUAACUUGAAAGAAUGACAACAAAUGAAACAAAGCUGGUUGUACAGUAGUUUCAUUAGUUGGCAACAAGGAUCAAUGUAUUUUAAAAGCACUUUAGACACGCCAUGGAUCAGAGAGCUCAGCAGAUGAUGGUUAGUCCUCAGAGUAAAUACCAAGAAGAAACAGUCUGAGCAUCUUUCCUGUCCUCUAAACACUUGUGAAUCAAGUCCUUCCUUAAGACUUUUGCCUCCCUUCUGGAUAGACAACAGCCUCUGAAUGUUUCCAUCCAGUCUGCAUUUGUCUUGCUUGAUACUUGAAACCGCUGAUAACCUCCUUUCCCCUUUGUUUUUUCUUGCCUGUUCUGAGGUUUCCAAGAGGCGUAUAUGUAUGUGUGUGCAUAUAUAUGUAUUGUACAGAUAUGUGGGUGUGUGUAUAGCAAUGUAACAUAAAUGUAUUUUAUCUACUCAUCUGACUUUCAAGUAUAUGUAAUCAUUUUGUAUUAACCGUGCAGCUGAAAAUGGCAAAGCCUAAUGCUCAAAUGUGUGCUGGUCAUCCUGCCUUUCUCUGGUUUGUGAUUUGGAGUAUCAAUACUGAGAAGUGCUGUACACUAACUCUCGUUUCUCCUUAUGUGUGUGCAUACUUCAGUUACAAUGUAAUUUUGCUGCAGGUAUGUUUUGAAUUCUUCAAGUUAGAUAGCAAUGCUAAUGCUUGAGAGUGGGAUUAUAAACUGAAAUAAUACAAAGCAUCAGGGAAUGUUAACAACUAAUAUCUCAUGAAUGACUAAUACCAUAAUCUAUGUACUGUGAACGUUCAGGCCUGAAAUCUCCUUGCCAUGCCUGGAAGUAAUUAGAGAUUGGUAGAAGCGCUUUUGAUGCUUGGACAUUAGUAUGUAUAAUUCAAAUAUAAUAGGAGCACUGGAAUAGUGUGUUAUGUUGUGGUUAAGGACAGGAACUAGGGAUCCAGAAACAUGACCUGAUGCUGAUUUGCUUUGUGAAUUUAGUUCUGUUGCUUAACUUUCCCCUGUUGCUAGUGAAGUAGUAGCGAUAUUUUCACGUAUCACAAGAGAGUUCAGCAUUAAAUUCCAGCACUCUUAAAGCACUUAAGAUCCAUAAAUGGAAGGUAGUAAAAAAAUUCCAAAACACUCAUUUAGUUGUUUUAUAAACUUGGAGGCUGGAGCAUAAUUUUCUUCAGCGUUCUGUAAACUUAAAAUACCCACUUAUAUGUGCUUCAUUGAUGGUGUUCAAACCAUGAUCAGAUGCUCAAGAAGAAGGGGUUAUUACAUGAGAUGUUUAUUUCUGUCAGGGGAAGGAGGUGGGGGAUUAAUAUCAAAGCAUGAUUCUUCUAGCCCGAUGGUUGUCAGCGGUGCAGUUGUAUGUGGCCUAAUCCAUUUCCACUUGAAGCUGCUGGGAAGACUUCUAUAGACUUCACUAGGAGCUGGAUUUAUCCUAAAGAAUAAAUCUUUCCCUGAAGAUCUGACUCAGACUCAAGGUUCAAACUCAUGAUCUCCGGUGAUUCAUUCUAGAUUCAUCUAACACAUUAUUGCUCCCAGCUUUUCACGCUGCCUUGUUUUUUCAGAUGCUGCUACCCCUGUAACAAGAGUGGCAGAAUGGACAGUGUGCCCACUUGCCAGCUCCCCUGGUUUGCAGCCCGCUGUUUUCAUGCUGCUCAGCUGCUGGUCGCAGGCCUCCAAAUUCCAGCUUCUCCUGUGGUUUCAGUGAUGGGACUUGUGUUUUUGGAGCAGCAGUGACCAGUUUCAGCAGUGAUCGCUUGGACCUUCUGGGGUAAUCAAGAAUUCACUGCAUGUUUUGGCACUUACAAAUCUGGAAGGAUAAAUUUUUAAUUAGUGUGUUUUGGUAAUUGUUUGUGGUUUCCCUUUACCAAAACCCCAGGGAAAAAGCCUGUUGCUAAUCAGGGGGUUUUUAGAGGGAAAAUUAAAAUAAUCUGCCAAGUGCUGCUUAUGGUAAAUCCCCAUAGAGAAGAAGAGCAUGGUCUGCUCCUCGAGAGCUUUGCUUUCCAGGGGGCUUGUUCUGUGCAGCAUGGAGGACUGCUGGGGAGUUGGGAGCAUUCAUCUCCUCGGAAAAGAGACUGGGGAUCUCAAGAGAUCAGACCUGUGUUACAGGCAGAAUGGCUUAAAAAAUUCAGCGUGGCGUGUGUUCAGAGUUGACUGGGGUGCUAUGCCAAAACAAUGUGCAAAACCAAGAGUGACAGUUGGCAUCCAUUAUCUGUAAGUGCCUGGUGCUGUUGGUAGGUAGUACAUCGUGGUCAAGUUACUAAUAAUCUGGAAUAUUUUCUUUUAUAUUUAUUGCUCUGUUUAUUAUUCCUAACAUUUUAAAACUUGCUCUAAAGAAAGAAUAAAAAUACAUUUGGUAAUGCA